This is a non-coding RNA of Benincasa hispida (wax gourd), 4854 nucleotides long. Lineage: Eukaryota; Viridiplantae; Streptophyta; Magnoliopsida; Cucurbitales; Cucurbitaceae. The record is from RefSeq and is a predicted model, not a curated record.
AAUUAUUUUUAGUUAAAAAUUAAAAAAAAAAACAAAUCUUUGUAUUUUUUCAGAAGUUAAACGUCGACGGUGACGAUGAGCUUGUGAACCCUCCGAUGAUGGAGCCCUCGCAACUCCAUAAUCCCGACGAAUACUCGGCCUCUUCCACAAUUAUCACCUUCCAACGCCCAAUUCCCCUUCUUCGUGGCCCAAUUCGAGCUUCUCAAUCUGAAAAUCCCUCCGCAGGUCCGUACUUGCUUGCAUUUAGGGAUUCGCAAGCAUGGCAAUCUGGGUACGAAACAUGCGAGUCGAAGAUUAUCGAACAAUGCAAGGCCGGCGCCAGAAUCGGUUGCUCAAUAACUGCUUCCAACAAGUGCAAGCCGCCCUGGUGGGGAUUUUUGUUACGGUCGAAGAAGGGGUUGGAUUUGAAGGAGAGGGAGCAUUGCGAAGAGCGAGAAAUGGAGGCUUGUUUGGCUGCCGCUGAGGAGAAAUGUGUCGGUUUUGCGAAGGAGAAGUGUUCUAAACCGUUUAUGGAAGCUAGGAUUGUGGCGAGGAGGGGAAAGAUUACAGAGAAGGAAGCGAAGAUGUUGGUUUGUUGGGCAUCAAUAGCUAAUAAAAAUUUUGUUAUCCCUUUAAUUGACAUCAGACGAAAUCUUUCUGGAGUUGGUCUUGGGGAGACGACUUAUCGAGCUAGUGAAUUAUUCUAGACAACUACAUUUUUCUGGAAUUGGUCUUGGUGAUGGUAAUUCAAGUUAUGGAGGAUUUUGAUGGAAAACUCUGAUCAGUGGACGAGCAAGGAAUAGUUCAAACGAAGAUGAAUAAUUUAGAGGCAAGUUCCUUGCUUAUACUUAAUAAUUGGAAAUAUCCGUUCGGACGGCCAUACUUGUACAUGUACCACAAUCCGGGUCAGUUUCUUGAUUGGUCGGAAUUCAGGGAAAUCGAAAUUCAUUUCCAUGAUAUAUCUGAAGGUACGAGAUACAUGUGUGAAGAAGAUAAGUAAUCGAGAUAUAUUUGUGAAAAUACAAUAGCGUAGGCACAAUUUUGUGAAAAAAGAAUAUGCUUGUUAUUUAAAUACGAUAUGGUUCUUUUUCUCCCCCCUAUUUCCUUUAACGAAAGACCAAACUUUAGAAUAGAAAUGUGCCAUAUGAAAAGAAAAGCUCAAAAUAAAAGGCUCCUUGUAAACAGACAUUGAGAAAGAAACAUUACACUUAGCAGAGAGACGUCUCCUCCUAUGAACACUAAACACCAUGAAACAUUCUCCUAAUCCUUAAGUCAAUUCAGACCUCCCCGUCUGGAUACUGUCGAUUUCAAAAUAGUUCCAAUGACUCUGAUCCCUUGGUAUGAGAUUUGGGUAUGUUUGCUCUAAGUGGUAACUAGAAAAUCCUUUCUCAUCAACAAGGAGGCAAUUGAAUAAGAUAUUCUUCCUAUUAAACCAACCAUUAGCAUGCAAUGAUAAAAACUAACUUCGUCAUUGUUCUUGAGGUUUUUUUUUUCUUCAACAAAUAUGAGAAUGGGAGGAUUCAAACAUUUGGCUUCUUGAUUGUGGGUUAUAUGUUUUGAUUUGUCAAGCUCUACUCAAGGCUGGUUAGUUAGUUGAUUGGUUUGCUGAAAAUUGAUGAAAAGAAUUAUGGAAAUAAAGUUUUAAGAGUUUGGGUGGAAUUUGUUGCAUUAAUUUGGAAGGUUGCAUCCUUACCACUUUGGAUUUGGAAUGAUCUCCAAGGAGACUUCUGGAUUGGGCUCAACCACUCCCACUAGGCAUAGGAGUCUUGUUAAAUUUCUUUUAUAGACCGAGUGCACGUCACGAUGAUCGAUGAAGGGAAUUAGUUGACAAUUAGUUGGAAAACAGUUUGCUUUAGUUAAUUGAUUUGGGUAGGUUUAUAUCAGUAGUUUAUUGUUGUUUUAUUAAUUAAUUAGCACCGGUUUAAUAAGCUUUAGAUGAUGUAGUUUGUCAUUAAGAAGAAACCUAGAUUGGCAUAAUUCAUGUUUGGAUUAUACCCUAAAUUAAUCAUAGAAAGCUGGAUUUAUGCUGUAUUUUGCUUGUGGGUUUAUGCUUUGUAUAAUUGAAAUCCUGAUAGCCUAACUUUAUGUACCUGUGGAAUUAAUAAAUCCAUAGGCUCGUAUCAAACAUAAAUUCAGCUUUUGAACUGCAAAUUGUAUAAAUUUAACGUGUAAUAUUGGAUUACUUCCCUUGUUUCUUAGGAUUAAUUUCAUCCCCUUUCAAUUUAUUUUUCUUGUUUAUAGAUAAUCAAACAUGAUUAAGAUUAAUACUGAGAGAAAAAGAUGAAGGGAGAUGGGAUGAAAAGGUGGAGUCACCCUUAUUAAAGCGAGACUAAAAUUGCUAGUAAAGAUGAGCAUGGUAAGAGGCCAACCCAACAAUUAUAGCUGUAUACUGUUUCAAAAAUGGAAUAUAGGUUUGCUCGAGUUCAUCAUUUGUCAAAGCCUAAAACAAGAACAAUGGUUAGACGCAACCUCUACUAAUUUCAUGCUUCCAUCUCCUCUGCACGCAUAAAAAAAAUCAUUUAAAGAAACGUAUCACGUGACACAUUUCAAUUGAGUGGUAGUCGAGCCCCACAAUAGAUGGGGCAGCCAGCGCUACCUAAGUUUUUUUUCCCUAAAACAAACAUCCACAACUGUUCAUGUUUGGGAAUAAUGGAAUAUAAAAUGCCUCCAACAACGUGGAAACAGUAUUCAUUUAUAUUUUUUGUACCCUUCUCUUUUUAAUGCUUCCUCCGAAUAAAACGAAAAUAACCCAUUAGGACAAAGUAUUCGAAUCACCCAUCCCUCAGGAGCUUUCAACUUUUAAGAUGAUAUAUAAGAUGCUGGAAUAAUAAUACUCCAAUUUCUUGAAAAUAAAUUAUUUAACCGAAUUCUUGAUUCCGAUUCGAUUUAAACUUUUGUAUAUAAUAUAUUUUAGAAAGAAAUAAUAAAUAAAAGUUUGUAGAGUUUCAAAGCAAUAAGCAUAGAGAACGGGAUCUCAAAAGCAUCAAAACCUCUUUGGAUAAGAGAAGUUCUGUCACUCAAAACCCUAACAGUAACAUCAGUCGAGAGAUUCCCAGAGCAGAGACCCAAGCAUUUAUUCCACUCGGAAUUGCAAGUGCAGAUCUGCUUCAUACCCCAUUUUUAGCCAAAUCUCAAGAAUCUCCAUUGCUCUCUCUCCACAACUCUUUCUACAAAAUAAGUAUAUUAUUGUCCAUGACAGGAUCAAAUUAAGCCAACCUGCAAGACAAGAGAGAGAGAGAGAAAAAAAAAAGUGUCUUUCCUAUACAGGAAGUUGUUAAGGUGAAUUGGACGAAACACUGCAAGAAGAAAUGAAAAGAGUUUAGGUUCAUCCAUAAUAGAGCCACCUAUACUUAAGAUUAAUAUCCUAUGUGUUUUUCAUGGCAUCCAAAUGUUGUAGGGUCAAACAGAUUAUCUCGUGAGAUUAUCGAGAUGCACACAAACUGAUCCAAAAAGAAAAUAAAAAAAGAAUAAAAAGAAAUGAAAAGAGUUUAUCCAUAAAUGGUUGGUUAAUGUAGAAGAAUUUGCUAAAAUAAAUUGAACUCAGCAAGGAAGAAAAAAUGGGGUAGUGGUUAAAACUAGUAAAAUUGAAGCUCUGCAGCCAAAAGGAGCUGUUUGGUAGUGUUGGAAUUAGAAGAUAGAAAGUGGGUUAGGCUUCUAUAAUAGGGAGAAUAAGAGGAAUAAUGGAAUGGUGGUUUAGUUUAGUUUUCUCGUGAUACCAUCAAAAGGUGAAGCUACCAUAUGAUCUGAUCUUUCCUUGCUUGUGUGAAGAGAGCAAGAAGAAGUUUAGAUCAUGCUGGCAGCUUCAACUGCUGGUGAUACACGGCAAAUGAGAAGGAGAAAAAUAGAGAAAUAAAGAGUUUGUGUUAUAAUUUGGAGGAAGAUGAAGGGUAUUGGUAAGGGAUAUAAAUAGAGAGGGGGAAGUAAAGUGAUUGUCUCAAUUUUUGUUGUUGAAUUAUGUUGUAUUGUAAGGGUUUGGAAAAAAGCUGAUGAAUAUGAUAAACUAAAUAAUGAAGAAAAACCAGAUGGCAGACUGGCAGUGGUCCAAAGGUAAGACAAAAUUGAAUAUUGUGAAGCCCCACGCCAUUCACCAGCAGACAAGCUAGUGAGUAGCUCUAAAAUUUUACCCGAUGACUUUUUCACUUUAUGCAGCUCUCUCUUUCUCUUUCUCAUUGUCUUUCUCUCUCUCUCUCUCAUUGUAAAAUCUUCCAUGAAACAGAAAAGAUUGAGACAGCAGAACACGAAGUGAGCAGUCUUUUGAGGACCAUGUGCAUGGCUUCUAACAAGCUUUCGGAGAAAGAAAGACUCGGAGCAUCUUAAACCAGCCAAAUCAUGCAUGUGACUCUCUCUCUCUCUCUCUUACUUUGUUGGUUUCUGUUUUAUAUAUUUCUUGUUGGGUAUUUCCUUAGUAGUUAGUGAGAUCUAUAUCUUCUUUUUCUUUUUUGUAUCCGUGAGUGUUCGAACUUACUCAAAAGUUGUUUGGACCUCCAACUUAAAGCUGGUGGGAUGGGUUAUUUUUUAUUUUUGAUGAAGAAAACUACUUUCAUUGAGAAAAAAAAUGAAAGAAUACAAGGACAAGAAAGGACCACCAUCUACAAAAAGGAUUUCCAACUAUGCAAAAUAACUCAUGUAGAGAAGUUACAAAAAGCCUUGGAAGCCGAAACGCACAAGAAACAUGAAAGCAGAUGAGAGGGUCCUUCUCCACCCCUCUAAAGACUACUAUUGCACUUCAUGUUUUGGACGGAUUAUUAUAACCCACUUCAUGUUUGGGGAUCCAAAUAUAAUAGUGGUGUUUACAACUAUUUAUAAUUUACAAUUAACUAUAGUAAUACUGUUUGAAAUCCCUCUUUAUUAUAGUGUAUUUCUUACUUAGACUAA